Molecule: long non-coding RNA, 433 nt
Filed under: Dromaius novaehollandiae (emu)
Lineage: Eukaryota; Metazoa; Chordata; Aves; Casuariiformes; Dromaiidae
Description: lncRNA (ENSDNVG00000004363.1)
Source: RNAcentral
UCAGUAACUAAGAACUUGGUGCCCUGUGUCUUUUUGUCAGACUUGCCUCUUCCUGCCUACAACUGUUGCCAACUCUGGAACAGCUGAGCUGGAAUAAAGAAAUACCCCAGAGGACYGGAGAGCCCCUGUGGAUAGAUCUAUUCUUCUUUUCAGCCCGCACCUACCUCCCUGCUAGGGAAGAAAAGACCCCCUGCUGCAGAGGAGAGCACCAACGUGGCAGCUUUCACUUCUGUUCCACCAAACACUUCCAAGAGCAGUUUUCUCUCAGAGCUGUUCUCCUGACUGGAAAAUGUGGAGUCCUUGGAAAUGCUCAUGAAGUAAUGAAGCAAGGACCACAGCCAUCUGGAGGGAGAUGUGCCAAAGGAGUCACAGCCAUCACCCUGCAAUUUGUACAGCCUCGAUAAGAAACAUGAAGGUAACUUCUACAGAUAAA